UACUACCCGUUAGUGGUACUGUUCACAUUUGCGGCCAACAGUUUCAGGGUACUUUUAUCCCCUCCUACCACCCCCAACAGCAAUUAAAAAAAAAAAAGGAGAAACUAAAAGCCGGAACUCGUGAAAACAGGAUUAUCUAAAAGAUAAAAUGACUGAUACAGAAUUCUCACCGUGUAAAGGGUUUCUGCUGGCUUCCUUUAAGGCAUGAACUUGGAGUGAAACACAGUGAGAGACUUUACAAGUUUGAGUCACAAGCAUUUGUGGAAUGGAGCGGGGGAUGGGGAGUUUUUGUUUUUUUUUUUUUUUUUUCUAAUUCUGGUGAGGUAAUAAAUUGUCCGGAACCUUUUAAAAAAAAGGUUUACAAACCCAGACUGGCAACUUGACAAGCCUUUGGCACAGGUGUGGACAUGUUUGGAGCAAAGAAGGCUGAAGGACAAGUAUGCACCAUCUUUUGCUCUCUGAGAGACCAGAAUGUGGCUAUCAUGGAGCCCUUCGAUUUUAACAGAGAUCCUUUCUCUAUAACUAAUUCAACGCAUGGCUAUAUGGGUAAUUUUGAACAAGUGGAUCUUUCUCCAACCUGAAAGGCUGCCAGGACAAAGAGGGAGUGAGAAAAAGAGGGUUUCAAAAGCAGUCAUAGAGAACCACAAAAUAAUCACGAAGCACUUCUGUAUUGCCACAAUCUCCUUACAGAAGUGCAUUGAGAGGUGAUGAUAUGGAACAGAGAGGACACAUCGUUGCAAUAAAAUACUCUAUAA
This is a long non-coding RNA of Rhinopithecus roxellana (golden snub-nosed monkey), 755 nucleotides long. RefSeq lists it as uncharacterized. NCBI's taxonomy places the organism in Eukaryota, Metazoa, Chordata, Mammalia, Primates, Cercopithecidae. The transcript has 3 exons. The record is from RefSeq and is a predicted model, not a curated record.